Molecule: long non-coding RNA, 818 nt
Filed under: Pogona vitticeps (central bearded dragon)
Lineage: Eukaryota; Metazoa; Chordata; Lepidosauria; Squamata; Agamidae
Description: lncRNA (ENSPVIG00000025588.1)
Source: RNAcentral
AGGAGUCACAGAGGGAGUUGGCCAAAUGAAACCCAUGACAUACGGUCAAAUAAUUUGGAGCUUUGGAAAAUGACUUCAGUCAACAGUUUCUAGAAUUCUCCCACCAGGAGUCCCAAUUCUGGGAUUUGUUCUCCAAAAAAUUAACUUUUCCAAACUACGGUAUGGAUUGACCCAUUUGGGCUUUAAUUGAUGAGUUAUUACGUCCUCGGAUACCAACUAGCAAGACAUUAUUUUCCUAAAGCCCUUAAGGGACAAAAUGGGGACAACACACGGACUCCACUCCUCCUGCGCUGUUCUCAUUCAUUUCAAUGGAGUUUCAGCCAAAGAAAAUCAAGGAAGACCAGAUUUUUUGUAGCCCCUAAACGGCAGGAACCUCUGGUUCUCUCGCCUCACAGUCAUUCCCUUCAGAAGAGCUUUAAGCGUUCUAGCUUUUUAAUUAUUUCUACCAGCAGAUCUGCUUGCAAGAGGCUACCAUAUGUAGCCAUUUUGCCCAAAGCAGACGGAUACAUUCUGAGAGGGAAAGCAGACGUGUGUGGAUUUUUUUGUCUUUUAAACACGCUAACUAGUUUCAUUCAUUCAUUCAUUCAUACAUACAUAGAUACAUACAUACAUACAUACAUACAUACAUACAUACAUACAUACAUACAUACAUACAUACAUACAUACAUACAUACAUACAUACACCGCUAUUGCGGGUGACUGUGGGGGCACAGGCACAAAGCAGAAUUGACGAGGGCCUAACAAAAAUAAUAGCCUUUCCUUUCCCGCUGCUUCCCGUUGGCGACACGAAAAAAUAAAGGAGGAAGAGGAAUGGAACA